CAAAAGUAUUAUUUGUUAUUUCCACUGAAAACCACCUUGCCCUAGCUAACUAAGAAGCCUUUUGAAGAUACAGUCUGACAGUGCUGUGAAACAGGUCUCUGCUGCUUCCGCAUGACUUGCAUUUGGCAAGAGGGAAGAAGCUCCUUGGAACUGCCCAGAAAACAACCUCAAAGGAUGUCAGGGGAGCUGGGCAGUAUCCUAGACCCUUUCCUUGGGUUUCUACCCCUGCAGCCUACAGAAGAGCUCCUGAGGAAGGAGAGGAAUGUCUUGAUAAGAGGGUGAUGGGGAAGCAAGAGGAACCUGUCUGGCUCCCACUCCCUGCUCCUUUCAUGCACUCAGCUGUGUAUGAGAGGAGAGCUAGGGCAGUCCUGCCUCCUGGUUCAAGGGGCACAGAGUAUCAUCCGACAGGAGCACACAGCCCCCCUUUCCCUUAGUGGGUGGUUGGGUUUUUCAGGAUCAGGGAUGAUUAUUCUAUUUAUUUUGCCCCUGUCAAAAAAGGAAACGGGUCGACUUCUGCCAAGUAAUUUUACACCUAAGUAUUUCCUUCUGUUUGUCUUAAAAACAGCUUAGUAUGGAUGUUACCUCCAGGUCGUGGGGUCACUGGGGGAUUGGCAGAGGCUUUUCUGGGUUUCUCGGAGCACAACACACUCCUGGAAGCCUGUUCCUAAUUGUCUGGUGCAGAUGAGGGAAUACGGAGCCAAUUUGAGAAACGCAGCACCACGGAGUGGGGUUUGUCCCUUUGACAAGGAUGCGAGACGUGCUGGAAGAGAGUGUGCAUCACUUGCUGCAGUGAUUCACUUUGCACAACUCGCCAAGAAGCCCUGUUUGCCACAAGCAUGUUCAUUGAUCAGCCCUUGCAGGGAAAAGCACUUGCUGACAUCCCCCAUCAAGAGAUCUUCCAGCUCAUG
This is a long non-coding RNA of Pezoporus flaviventris, 908 nucleotides long. RefSeq lists it as uncharacterized. The transcript is spliced from 3 exons. Lineage: Eukaryota; Metazoa; Chordata; Aves; Psittaciformes; Psittacidae. The record is from RefSeq and is a predicted model, not a curated record.